Misgurnus anguillicaudatus (oriental weatherfish) is the source of this 1176-nucleotide non-coding RNA. The record is from RefSeq and is a predicted model, not a curated record. NCBI's taxonomy places the organism in Eukaryota, Metazoa, Chordata, Actinopteri, Cypriniformes, Cobitidae.
AAGUGACUUUUGUGCAUUGACAAGUGAAACAUAAAUUUACUCCGAAGAACAAGUUCCUCAAAAAGUUAAUGUCAAGCCCUGCACCAGCUAACUUGCAUUACAUUUGCAAGAACCACGUCUUUCUCUCACUUCAGCCGUGUGGCACGCGUGCCUGCUCACGAUGUGAAGCACGUCUGCGCUAUUCUCUGAAAAGCACUUGACAGGCUUUUGUGCAGUGCCUGAAUUUGUGUAAAUGAUUUUUGUCAAAAAAUAGAAUUCUGGUUUAUCUCAAUCAGUUUCCCAGCUCAUUCAAAAGCGACUUCAAUACUGGUUUUGAAAAUUAGCUCAUCACUAAUAUCUUUAUCCUCUAUGUCUUUCAUGAACUUGUUUUUUCCCCUCAAGGUAAUAAUGGUAAGAUCCCAGCAGGAAGCUAGAAGGCCAGGCAGUGGCAAUGAUGAGCCUUUGAAAAGGAGGAAACCAUGCCUGAAGUACCCAUCUGAAGGAACAAACACUUGUCAUAAAUGUCUCUCAAAACAAUGUCUCUGGCAGAGGAAAGGGUACGCUCAAAAAACCCUGGACAAAAGCUGAAGUGAGUGGUAAAUGGACUGCAUUUUAUAUAGCGCUUUUAACAGACCUAUGGCCAUCCAAAGCGCUUUACAAUUUGCCUCACAUUCACCCAUUCACUCUCUCAUUCAUACACCGACGGCGGUGUGAGCCAUGCAAGGGGCCAUCCAGCUCAUCAGGAGCAGCUGGGGUUAGAUGUCUUGCUCAAAGACACCUCGACACUUGAUCAGGUGGAGCCGGGGAUUAAACCACCAACCUUCCGGUUUGUAGACAACCUACAUGAACCACUGAGCCACUGCCGCCCCAGUGAACGCUGUAAUGUGACACUUCAGAUCUCACAUCAGCAAAGGUCACUUGGCGUCAGUGAGAGAAUGUGAGGUCUGUAAAAGAUGUGAGCAUCCAGUGCUACAAAAUAGGACAGAGCAAAAUCUCAGAGAGUUUGUUUGAAACCGAGGGCUUACCUUUAAGCGCAUGGAAAAGUGAGUCAAAAUGUUCAGAAUGUAAUGCUGUUGAUUUUAAAGUAACGUUUUGUAAUUGCCGUCAUUGAAGGAACACGCCAACAUUUUGGGAAUUUAGCUUAUUCACCGUAUUCCCCAGAGUUAAAUAAGUCCAUACAUAUUUUUCUGUGCCUGC